UACAUAGCUUAAUGAGGGGAACUCAGGGAACUGAAACAUCUAAGUACCUGAAGGAAGAGAAAGAAAUUCGAUUCCGUAAGUAGCGGCGAGCGAACGCGGAUUAGCCCAAACCAAUAAAGUUUUCUUUAUUGGGGUUGCGGACAUAUCAUAACGAAGAGGUAUCGUAAUUGAAGAGGUUUGGAAAGACCCACCACAGAAGGUAAUAGUCCUGUAUGUUAAACGAGAAGACUUUAGAUAUGAUCCAGAGUACCACGGGACACGUGAAACCCUGUGGGAAGCAGGAGGGACCACCCUCCAAGGCUAAAUACUACCUAGUGACCGAUAGCGUAUAGUACCGUGAGGGAAAGGUGAAAAGAACCCCGGGAGGGGAGUGAAAUAGAACCUGAAACCCUGCACUUACAAGCUGUGGAAGCACAUUUCUUGUGUGACCGCGUACUUUUUGUAGAACGGGCCAACGAGUUACGUUAAGUAGCAAGGUUAAGCACUUAAGGUGCGGAGCCGUAGCGAAAGCGAGUUUUAACUGAGCGUUCAGUUACUUGACGUAGACCCGAAACCGGGCGACCUACCCAUGAGCAGGAUGAAGCGAAAGUAAAAUUUCGUGGAGGUCCGAACCCACGAGCGUUGAAAAGCUCGGGGAUGACUUGUGGGUAGCGGUGAAAUUCCAAUCGAGCCCGGAGAUAGCUGGUUC
This 688-nucleotide ribosomal RNA is filed under the name Clostridioides difficile. Its description in RNAcentral is "partial 23S ribosomal RNA". It matches the Rfam family "Bacterial large subunit ribosomal RNA", at positions 163 to 855 of the family's 2925-position model. The record is from RNAcentral. Lineage: Bacteria; Bacillati; Bacillota; Clostridia; Peptostreptococcales; Peptostreptococcaceae.